CCUACGGGAGGCAGCAGUGGGGAAUAUUGGGCAAUGGGCGCAAGCCUGACCCAGCAACGCCGCGUGAAGGAAGAAGGCUUUCGGGUUGUAAACUUCUUUUCUCAGGGACGAAGAAAGUGACGGUACCUGAGGAAUAAGCCACGGCUAACUACGUGCCAGCAGCCGCGGUAAUACGUAGGUUGCAAGCGUUAUCCGGAUUUACUGGGUGUAAAGGGCGUGUAGGCGGGGAAGCAAGUCAGAUGUGAAAACCACGGGCUCAACCUGUGGCCUGCAUGUGAAACUGUUUUUCUUGAGUACUGGAGAGGCAGGCGGAAUUCCUAGGGUAGCGGUGAAAUGCGUAGAUAUUAGGAGGAACACCAGUGGCGAAGGCGGUCUGCUGGACGGCAACUGACGCUGAGGCGCGAAAGCGUGGGGAGCAAACAGGAUUAGAUACCCGAGUAGUC
RNAcentral lists this ribosomal RNA (443 nucleotides) under uncultured bacterium. RNAcentral's name for it is "partial 16S ribosomal RNA". It matches the Rfam family "Bacterial small subunit ribosomal RNA", at positions 338 to 795 of the family's 1533-position model. The record is from RNAcentral.